This 492-nucleotide ribosomal RNA is filed under the name uncultured bacterium. Its description in RNAcentral is "partial 16S ribosomal RNA". It matches the Rfam family "Bacterial small subunit ribosomal RNA", at positions 29 to 507 of the family's 1533-position model. The record is from RNAcentral.
AGUGAACGCUGGCGGUAGGCCUAACACAUGCAAGUCGAACGGCAGCACAGUAAGAGCUUGCUCUUACGGGUGGCGAGUGGCGGACGGGUGAGGAAUACAUCGGAAUCUACUUUUUCGUGGGGGAUAACGUAGGGAAACUUACGAUAAUACCGCAUACGCCCUACGGGUGAAAGCAGGGGAUCUUCGGACCUUGUGCGGAUGGAUGAGCCGAUGUCGGAUUAGCUAGUUGGCGGGGUAAAGGCCCACCAAGGGGCCGAUCCGUAGCUGGUCUGAGAGGAUGGUCGCCGGCACUGGAGCUGGAACACGGUCCAGACGCCUGAGGUAGGCAGCAGAGUGGAAUAUGGGGCAAUAGGCGCAAACCUGAUCCAGCGGUACCACGUGGGUGGAAAAGGCGUUCGGGUUGGAAAGCCCUUUUGUUGGGAAAGAAAAGCAGCAGGUUGAGACCCCGCGGUUCUGACGGUACCCAAAGAAGAAGCACCGGCUAACUUCGUG